RNAcentral lists this ribosomal RNA (469 nucleotides) under uncultured soil bacterium. RNAcentral describes it as "bacterial SSU rRNA". It matches the Rfam family "Bacterial small subunit ribosomal RNA", at positions 26 to 483 of the family's 1533-position model. The record is from RNAcentral.
AGAGUGAACGCUGGCGGUAGGCCUAACACAUGCAAGUCGAACGGCAGCACGGUAAGAGCUUGCUCUUACGGGUGGCGAGUGGCGGACGGGUGAGGAAUACAUCGGAAUCUACCUUUUGGUGGGGGAUAACGUAGGGAAACUUACGCUAAUACCGCAUACGCCCUUCGGGGGAAAGCCGGGGACCAGCAAUGGCCUGGUGCUGAUAGAUGAGCCGAUGUCGGAUUAGCUAGUUGGUGAGGUAAUGGCUCACCAAGGCGACGAUCCGUAGCUGGUCUGAGAGGAUGAUCAGCCACACUGGAACUGAGACACGGUCCAGACUCCUACGGGAGCAGCAGUGGGAAUAUUGGACAAUGGGCGCAAGCCUGAUCCAGCCAUACCGCGUGGGUGAAGAAGGCCUUCGGUUGUAAAGUCCCUUUGUUAGGAAAGAAAGUCAUUACGGUUAAUACCGGUGUUCGUGACGGUACCAAAG